RNAcentral lists this unclassified non-coding RNA (331 nucleotides) under soil metagenome. RNAcentral's name for it is "partial contains 5.8S ribosomal RNA, internal transcribed spacer 2, and large subunit ribosomal RNA". The stretch from base 3 to 119 matches the Rfam family "5.8S ribosomal RNA", at positions 38 to 154 of the family's 154-position model. The record is from RNAcentral.
GAGAAGAACGCAGCAAAAUGCGAUAAGUAAUGUGAAUUGCAGAAUUCAGUGAAUCAUCGAAUCUUUGAACGCACAUUGCGCCCGCCAGUAUUCUGGCGGGCAUGCCUGUUCGAGCGUCAUUUCAACCCUCAAGCACAGCUUGGUGUUGGGACUCGCGUUAAUUCGCGUUCCCCAAAUUGAUUGGCGGUCACGUCGAGCUUCCAUAGCGUAGUAGUAAAACCCUCGUUACUGGUAAUCGUCGCGGCCACGCCGUUAAACCCCAACUUCUGAAUGUUGACCUCGGAUCAGGUAGGAAUACCCGCUGAACUUAAGCAUAUCAAUAAGCGGAGGA